AUGUUGGAGUUCUGCAGCACCACGUCCACAACGGAGCCUAGCGCAAGCCGGUACACCGGGCUGCCCACGGUCCCGUUCGUCGGCGCCGGCGCGGAGAUGUCGUGGCUCAUGUGGUCGUACAUGUCGGGCGGCGGGCGUUGCUCGUACGCGUCUUUCAUGCCGCGCUUCAUCGCCACGAGGUACGGCGUGGCCGGGAACAUGAGCGACACGCCAUUGAUGGUCCACUUGAUGUGGCCAUCAAUCCGGUUCUGGGUGUUGAGGAAGAGCAGCGUGCGGUCGGCCCUCGCCGGCAUGGGCUCUACGAAGUGUGGGUGCGCGAAGAUGGCCCUGCUCUGA
RNAcentral lists this ribosomal RNA (336 nucleotides) under Triticum aestivum (bread wheat). RNAcentral's name for it is "partial small subunit ribosomal RNA". Lineage: Eukaryota; Viridiplantae; Streptophyta; Magnoliopsida; Poales; Poaceae. The record is from RNAcentral.